Molecule: ribosomal RNA, 123 nt
Filed under: Luciogobius sp. 'mizuhiki-naga-mimizu-haze'
Lineage: Eukaryota; Metazoa; Chordata; Actinopteri; Gobiiformes; Gobiidae
Description: partial 16S ribosomal RNA
Source: RNAcentral
ACACUCCUAACAGCUAGCCCCCUCCCCAAAAACAACAAACACCAUUAAUAAGCCCCCACAAACAACAUAAACAAACAACAAACAACAAACCAUUUUUCCUCCCUAGUAUGGGCGACAGAAAAG